CCUUAAAUAAGUUAAUAAAACUAUUGAAUUUUUACUUCAACUUUACUUUUUAAGUUUUGAGGA
RNAcentral lists this transfer RNA (63 nucleotides) under Mycterothrips gongshanensis. RNAcentral's name for it is "tRNA-Lys". The record is from RNAcentral. Lineage: Eukaryota; Metazoa; Arthropoda; Insecta; Thysanoptera; Thripidae.